Molecule: non-coding RNA, 115 nt
Filed under: Mycoplasmatota bacterium
Lineage: Bacteria; Bacillati; Mycoplasmatota
Description: Tenericutes bacterium FMN sequence
Rfam family: FMN riboswitch aptamer (RFN element)
About the family: The RFN element is a highly conserved domain that is found frequently in the 5'-untranslated regions of prokaryotic mRNAs that encode for flavin mononucleotide (FMN) biosynthesis and transport proteins. This element is a metabolite-dependent riboswitch that directly binds FMN in the absence of proteins.
Source: RNAcentral
AGAAAACUUCAGGGCAGGGCGAAAUUCCCUACCGGCGGUAAAAGUCCGCGAGCUUAGGCAUGAUUAGGUGAAAUUCCUAAACCGACAGUUAAAGUCUGGAUGGAAGAAGUAUUUU